Strongylocentrotus purpuratus (purple sea urchin) is the source of this 303-nucleotide long non-coding RNA. RefSeq lists it as uncharacterized. NCBI's taxonomy places the organism in Eukaryota, Metazoa, Echinodermata, Echinoidea, Camarodonta, Strongylocentrotidae. The transcript has 2 exons. The record is from RefSeq and is a predicted model, not a curated record.
AUGUGGCCUGGACCCACCCUCCUCAGGUCAUCACCUUUCUUCACCUGAGCCAAUUAUUUGUAACCUCAGGGUUUCACCAUCACUUCAUGUGCUUUACAAAAAACAAAGGCAAAGCAUCACUCUUAUCAGCAAAUGUGUUAGUCCAGGCUUCACCCUUUGAAUUAUUUGCAUAGGUGAUGCUUCACUUUUGUCAGUUUUACAUAGGUGAGGCUUCACUUUUGUAAGUUUUCGGCCGGUCUGAAGCUUCACCACUGUUUCACCAUACUGGCCAUUUGCAUAGUUCAAGCUUCACCACUGUUUCAC